GGCAGCACCCACACACGCAUUAGAUCCCAAGUACUGGACCCUGACACCGGAGCGGGUGUGGGGGUGGUGGCAGGGAGCUGCCAGAGACCAAUGAGGACAGUGUUUCCCAUCAGCAGGGACUCCUUAGUGAGCUCCUCAUUCAGUCUUGGGGUUGGAGAGGACCGAACACACUGUACAGAUUCGUGUUUGUCAGUGUCCUAAUCGUGUGAACCCAGAGUCAGUAAGGUUGGGAUGCACAGUCAUUUCUCUUACCACCCUCACGGGUUCACUGUUUGCAUCUCCAAGUUUGACUUUGGAAGUUCAGGGACCGAUGAAAGUGGGGUGGGGUGCAGCUGGGUCCAGCUAGGACAGUGAAUAACUCCUUAAAGCUUCAACUGAGACCUGGGGGCCGGACGUUGUGGGACGGUUGAUGGUUUGGGACUGCACAGUUGGUGAUUAAAUGUCUCUAUUCUCGUGUGCGGACUUCGAGAUGGUUAUUUCCCAGCAUAGAGGUGGGAGAGCUUAUGCAGAGUGCAUGGCUGUGUUCUCAGUGGCUGCUGUGGUCCUAAGUUCACCUUUCCCCUCUGCAGCAAGCCCCAUGAUCCUUUAACCAGUAGGCCACCAGGGAGCUCCUUUAAUCCAUUUUUACUUGAUUUUUGUGUAUGGUGUAAGGUAGUGGUCCAGUUUGAUUCUUUUGCAUGUAGCUGUCCAGUUUGCCCAACAGCAUUUAUUGAAGAGAUUGUCCUUUCCUCAUUGUACAUUCUUGGCUCCUUCAGAGCAGCGUUUUUUUGAGUUGGGCUUUGUGCGUAGGGGAGAGUAGUGCUAUUGGAAAGGUCAUGAACUCUUCAGGAGUUUUUCAGGACAGUGAUCUAAAGAGAUCAGAUUUAGAUUCAACAGGGAUGAUUUUCUCUAUCUCUGGUCUUUCCUUUUCUGCCUCGCUUUUGAAGGCAUGUCAGUAUUCUGGAGAUGUUUAGAAGUGUUUGCAUAAACAUGCCAUGUUUGGGGCCAAGGUGGUGUUUUAUUUAUGUGUUUAUUUUGCUGCAUUUGGUCAUUAUCAACUAAAAUGGUCAAUGUCUACUAUGUACACAACAUUCUUUAAUGAUGUUCUCUCCCCCACUGCAGAAUGAGGUCCUUGAAUUUGGAAACACACUCAUGUCAGGAAUGUUUGGGCGUCUCAGCUCUAGUCUUUUUUCUCAUUAAUUAUCUUAAUGGUGACAGAAAACAAACUAGUUAAAUGUCAUAUUGGAGUUUUCUCCCAGUAGACAUUUUUGUAUUUUUAAAGAUACACUGACCACAUUGAAGGUAGGGUUCUGGCGAUGUGCAAAGAAAAUUUGUAUAAUAUCCCCAAACUCCGUUUUUGAAAUAAUACGGAGUUUAAGCCAAAACCUGAAUUGGAAACAUAGUUUCUUUACUUAAAUGGGCAGUCUAGGGAAUUCCAGAUUCCUACCAUGAUUUAGAAUCUCUUGAAUUGUCCCAUUGAAAGGUGGGAAAUGUAAGUUUAUAGUAUAAAUGGAAAAUUUUAUGUCAUGAAAGGUUUAUCAGCAUUCACUCCAAAGUUGUUGAGACCAGGAUUGAACCCGCAACCUCAUGGUUCCUAGUUGGAUUCGUUUCUGAUGCCCCAUGACAGGAACUCCUGGACUAUAUUUAUAAAGAAUUUUUUUUCAGUUUAAAAUUUACACUAAGGUGAAUAUAUUUUUGCGAAAAAUAUCUGAAUACAUCUCAAUAUUUUGUAUCUAAAUCUAGCAUUUAAAUUUCAUCUUAGAACUUUGACUUAUAUAGGUCUGUAUGAGGUAGCUGAUUAAAAUAUUUCACCAGAAUGUUCAAUUUCACACUCGAACAUUUUCUACUGCAAGGCACUGUUCUAGCUGGUUGGAAACAAUGGAGAAGGGAAUUAUUAUUUAUUGUAUGCCUGUUAUAUUUCAGAUAGUUGUACAUUACUUUAGGUCUUCAUCUCAUUAAUGCAUACAGUAACCCUGUUAUUGUCCUCAUUUUAUAGCACAGGAGACUGAGGGAUAGAAAAUUAUGAACUGGGGAGAAAUGAUCUGGGCCGUAGUAUUCUUGGACUGCCGAAUCUUGGAUGGUGCCUCUAUCCUAUGAAUGGGGGCUGAGUGGAGGAAGAGCCCAUUCCCACUCACCAGGAAUGUCACCUUUCAGCUUGGACUUGUAGGAGCUAGAAAGGCUGGAGGCCUGCUCCUUCUGGUGGUUGGUUGGGAGCUGAGGAGAGAAGUCUUCGAUCUUAGUCACCCCACCUGGAGUGAGGCUCCCAUCAAGCUAACUGUGGAGUAGUGGAUCAUGCUCAAAUGCCACAGACAUUCACCCUUAACAAGUCUUAGUAGAUUCUCUUGAAUAAAUACUUCUUUAUUUGCAGUAGGUUGGCCUUUAGGAGUCUCUCCAGAGAUUUAAUUUUUUUAGUAGUAAUUUUCAUCAACCUUGCUUGUUUUCCAUGGGAGUUUUUCCUUGGAGUCCCUCAUAUUAAGAUCCUAGAAGUGGAAAGCUGUAAUUUAUAAUUUAUACUCUGGUUGGGAUUGAUAUCAACUUAACUUCAAUAGUAGACAGUAAUUUUGCUCCUCUAUAAUUCUGUUCCCUCCCUUUUGCUGUUAGUGUCACAAAUUACAACCCAGAUAUGUAAUUCUUACUUUAUGCAGUUAUCUUUUCACAGACAGGAGAUAAAAGAGAAGCAAAAAUAAAUUUAUAUUGUCUUUUAUAUUUACCUAUAUAGUUGUCUUUAUCUGUGCUCUUUAUUUCUUCAUGUGGAUUUGAGUUACUCUCUAGUGUAUUCUCAUUUCAAACUGAAAAGAUUCCUUUUAGUAUUUACUGUAAGGAAGGUCUGCUAGCCACAGAUUCUCUUAAUUUUGUUUUUCUCACAGUGUCUUAAUUUUUCCUUCAUUUUUGUAGGAUAGCUUUGCUUGAUAAAGAAUUCUUGAUUGACAGGGUUUUUUCUUUCAGGACUUUGGAUAUGCCAUCCACUGCCUUCUGGCUUCUCAGGUUUCUGAUGAGAAGUCAGCUGUUAUUUGUAUUGCGUAUCUCUUGUGCUUGAUGAGCCACUUUUUCUUUCGGUUUUCAAGAUUUUCUUUUUUGUCUUGCUGUAAUUUGAAUAUGAUGUAUCUAAGGGUUGCCUGUCUUUUUGUUUACCCUCCUUGGAGAUCAUCGACCUUUUGAAUAUGUAGAUUAAUGUUUUCCAUCAUAUUUGAGAAAAUUUCAGCCAUUAUUUCUUCAAACAUUCUUUAUGCUCCUUUUUUCCUCUUCUUUGGGACUCCCAUUAUGCACAUGUUGGUACAGUUGUGGUGUCCCAUAGGUCUCAAGGGUCAUUAUAAUUUUUCUUUAUUUUUUUCUUUCAUUUCCUCAAUUGCCUGCCUUUAAUUGAUUGAUCUUCAGGUUCACUGAUUUUUUUUUUUUUCCUUCUGCCUGCUCAAAUCUGUUUGAACUCCUCUAGUGAAUAUUUCAUUUCGGUUAUUCUACUUUUUCAGAAUUUGUUUGAUUCUUUUUUUAGUAUAAUUUCUAGCUUUUUAUUGAUAUUUGGUGAGACGUCAUUCUCAUACUUUAGCUUUUUUUUCUUUAGCUCUUUGAACGUAUCUGAAACAGCUGAUUUAAGAUCUUUGUGAUAGGUAUAAAAUCAAACUCUCGGCUUCCUCAGGGAUAGUUUCUUUAGCUAUCCUUAGCAUGCAUUUUCUACUUUAUCAUCUGAAAUGGCUGCUCACGCUCCAGCCAUAUAGUGUGUAUUCCAGCCAUCACAAAGGAGGAAGGGCUGAAGACAUGCUUAUUCCCUUUAAUUAUACUUCCUAGAAGUUGUAGAUGAUACUUUGCUUAUAGUCCAUUGGCCAGAGUAUUAUCAUAUGAUUACUCCUAGUUUCAAUGGAGGCUGGAAAUUGUAGUCAUUAAUCUGGGUGGCCCUGAGUCUUUUUUUGGGGGGUGGAGUUGCACCUGCAGCAUAAGGAAGUUCCCAGGUUAGGGACUACAGCUGCCAGCCUACGCCACAGCCACAAUAACUCGGGAUCCAAGCCGUGUCUACCACCUACGCCACACCCAGCUCACAGAAUGCUGGAUCCCCGACCCACUGAGUGAGACCAGGGAUGGAACCCUCAUCCUCAUGGAUGCUAGUCAGAUUCAUUUCUGCUGCACCACAGUGGGAACUCCCUGAGUUCUUUUAUUAUUAAGAAAGAGGAGGAGAAUGGAUUUGGGGAUAUAAUUAGGAUUUUUUUUUAACUAUAGUUUAACCCUUUGGUUGUUCUAAUAUAUGAGCCUACCCUUCUUUUCAUGUAUACAACACUUUCAUCUCAUCCCAGGAGGGAUGACCUCAGUGUUUCAUUUAGUUACUGCAUUCAGCUCAAAGCCCAGGAUGUCUGGCAGGUAUGGUUCAGGGCUUAAAAAUGAAAAGAUAAGCUAACUGCUCCCUAAGCAAUUAGUAUAUAGUGGGUGUCAUAGAAAUAGGACAAUAGCAAAAAAAAACUACCAUUCAGGAAAUUACUUCUUUAUUGAUAUUCUCUAUUUGAUGGGAUAUGAUUCCUCUACUUUUAGUUUUUUAGCCAUGGUUUCCUUAGACAAGUUUUCAGAAAAGGAAGGAAUUGGUAACGUAUAAAAGUCACUGGUGGAGUUCCUGUCGUGGCAUAGUGGUUAACGAAUCUGACUAGGAACCAUGAGGUUGCAGGUUCGAUCCUUGGCCUUGCUCAGUGGGUUAAGGAUCCAGCGUUGCCGUGAGCUGUGGUGUAGGUCACAGAUGUGGCUCGGCUCCCGUGUCGCUGUGGUUCUGGCAUAGGCCGCCGGCUAUAGCUCCAAUUAGACCCCUAGCUUGGGAACCUCCAUAUGCAGCAGGAAGCAGCCCUAGAAAAGGGAAAAAAAAAAAAAAAAAAAAAAAAAAAAA
This 4837-nucleotide long non-coding RNA is filed under the name Sus scrofa (pig). RNAcentral describes it as "lncRNA (ENSSSCG00005004860.1)". The record is from RNAcentral. Lineage: Eukaryota; Metazoa; Chordata; Mammalia; Artiodactyla; Suidae.